UACGGAAGGCAGCAGUGGGGAAUAUUGCACAAUGGGCGCAAGCCUGAUGCAGCCAUGCCGCGUGUAUGAAGAAGGCCUUCGGGUUGUAAAGUACUUUCAGUCGUGAGGAAGGUGUUAAGGUUAAUAACCUUAGCAAUUGACGUUAGCGACAGAAGAAGCACCGGCUAACUCCGUGCCAGCAGCCGCGGUAAUACGGAGGGUGCGAGCGUUAAUCGGAAUUACUGGGCGUAAAGGGCACGCAGGCGGUUAAUUAAGUUGGAUGUGAAAUCCCCGGGCUUAACCUGGGAAUGGCAUUCAAGACUGGUUAGCUAGAGUCUUGUAGAGGGGGUAGAAUUCCGAUGUGUAGCGGUGAAAUGCGUAGAGAUGUGGAGGAAUACCGGUGGCGAAGGCGGCCCCUGGGACAAAGACUGACGCUCAUGUGCGAAAGCGUGGGGAGCGAAACAGGGAUUAGAUACC
RNAcentral lists this ribosomal RNA (456 nucleotides) under uncultured bacterium. RNAcentral describes it as "bacterial SSU rRNA". It matches the Rfam family "Bacterial small subunit ribosomal RNA", at positions 340 to 786 of the family's 1533-position model. The record is from RNAcentral.